GCCUUUGUAGUGUAGUGGUCAGCACGCUCGACGCAUAACCGAGAGGUCAAUGGUUCGAUCCUCGGCGAAGGCG
This 73-nucleotide transfer RNA is filed under the name Stegodyphus mimosarum. It matches the Rfam family "tRNA". From Rfam's summary of the family: Transfer RNA (tRNA) molecules are approximately 80 nucleotides in length. Their secondary structure includes four short double-helical elements and three loops (D, anti-codon, and T loops). The record is from Rfam by way of RNAcentral. Lineage: Eukaryota; Metazoa; Arthropoda; Arachnida; Araneae; Eresidae.